RNAcentral lists this long non-coding RNA (12627 nucleotides) under Hordeum vulgare. RNAcentral's name for it is "long non-coding RNA (HVUL_LNC018380)". The record is from RNAcentral. Lineage: Eukaryota; Viridiplantae; Streptophyta; Magnoliopsida; Poales; Poaceae.
GACACGGAGGAUGCGAAGAUAAUGCUGGUGAACGAAAGCCUCCUGUAUGAGCAUCCAAAGAAGUGACUUGUGAGGAUGAAGGAGAUCAAUGAGCAUAGGGAGUACUAGGCGGCGCGGGCGUCUAUUGUAGCAUCAAUGAAUGCAGCCACGAUGCACGCGGAUCAGGACGCAAGGAUGGCCUUGGAGCAUGCGACAUGGAUGGCGUCCGAUGAGUGGUUCCGCCAGUCAACGAGUGAUCUUCACACUCACACUUUAAUCUUAUUUUGGCAUGUACAAAUUUUGGAACUAUGAUUUGUUUUGCUUCAUCGUUUUCUUUUGAACCGUUGAAUUGAAAUGAUUUGUAUCAUAUGAUCGAUGUGUAUGGAUUGUAUAGAUUCGACAAUUCGCAUUUAAAGUUUGUGAAUGUGCGGUGUGAAUGUGCGGCAACCCAAAUAAGAGUAGUCUCACAUUGUUAGCAGACGCGUCCGAACACGUCUCCAAACAUAUAGAGGGUAGGAUUUGCAAAGUCGAUUGUAGAUGCUCUAACAUAGAGUUUAAGAGCAUCUACAACUGAUCUUAACAAAUUUGAUCCUUUAAAUAGAGUUUAAGAGCGUCUAUAACUGAUCUUAACAAAUCUGAUUCUUUAAACGUCUACGGACGUGUUCGGUUAGUGAUCAAGCGUGUUCAUUUUAAUCUUUUAUUUAGGCGUACAUAUAUCUGCAUUUCUCAUUUUCUCAUUUAUAGAGUUGGUGGAGGCGAAAAAAGAAAAAAUAAUGAAUAAAGAAAAAGAAAAAAAAGAUCUGAGGUGGGUCGUUGGACUCGCCGGACUAAUUAAACACGUCGGCGAGUCUUAUAUCUUAUCUAUAUUUGUUUUUAUAUGGAAGUUCAUGUACAAAAGUGAUAUUUCGAUCUCUUUUUUUCCUUUGGUCACUGACCGGACGCCUGGGAUGGCGGUUGUACAGCUCGCACAACAUCGACCAGACAAGUCGCGGUGUCCCCGUCGCUGCAUGUUGUUUAAAUCAACACUUCAUGUCGCUAUACGUUACAGUACAUCCGGCGUGUCUGACCUUCUCGCAUUUAACAAUGCAAGUGAGAUAAACUUAACAAUGAGGCGGGUGACAACGACAUCCAUAUACGCGACCUCGUCAUUGCAACACCAUAUUUAGUUUAAGAGUACAGUACAUAAGUAGAACCACUCCUCCCUCUCCUCUCAUCAAAUUUCGAAAGCAAAAAAGUAUUAUUGAAAACUCGAAACCAUCAGAUGCUUCACGCUAGCCAGCGCUGGCAGGGAAAAAUAAUACAAUUGAUUAAGGGAAGCGGCUGGUAAGGAACGAAAUCGACUCCACGCACGGCGGAUCCCGAUGCUUCACGCCGGACCUGACCGGACGCCCGUCUAGACGACGCGGCGGCAGAUGGUGACGCCGUCGGCGAUGGCGAGCUGGCAGACCUCGAUGCGCGGGUCGGCGGCGAGCUUGGCGUUGAGGUCCCUGAGGGCGGCGGAGAAGCGGGUGUCGAGGUCGGACAAGGGCGUGCCCGCCGGCAGCGCCACCGUGCCGCCCCAGAGCGUGUUGUCGUAGAUGAUGGUGCCGCCGACGCGCACCAGCCGCAGCAGCUGCUCGUGGUAGCGCACGUAGUUGGGCUUGUCGGCGUCCACGAACGCGAAGUCGUAGCUGGCCGCGCCAUCGUCCUCGGCGAGGAGCUCCUCCAGGCGCUCCAGGCCGGUGCCCUCGCGGAAGUCCACCUUGUGCGCCAUGCCGGCCUUCUCGAUGAAGGGGCGGCCCACCUCGUAGCACUCACGGUCGGUGUCGAUGGCCACGAUCUUGCCGUCCUCGGGGAGCGCCAGCGCGGUGGCCAGCAGCGAGUAGCCCGUGAACACGCCCACCUCGAUCGUCUUCUUGGCCCCUGCCAUCUUGAUCAGCAUCCCCAGCAGCUGCGCCUCGUCCGAGGACGACUGCAUGUAACCCCUGAAUCCAAAGAAUCAGAGCCAGAUCUAUCAGCAACCACAAGUAACUAGCUAGUAACAUCGAUCAAUCGAGAUGGACGUGGGAGCGUGCAUGCAGAGGAAGAAGAUGAUACUGUACGUACCAGGGGUGCUUGUCGGUGAUGAGGCGCAGGUCGCGCAUGCACUCGUGCUCGCGGGGGAACACGGUGGUGUCGAGGAUGUAGGUGUAGAGGGCGUCGCUCUUGAGCAGCGUCUUGUUGGUGCUGUCGAUGCCGCUGUGGACGUUGGCCACGGUGUUGUCUCCGCUGGGCGCCAUGGCUCUGGUCGCUAGCUCUGCCUGGGUUGGUGGUGCCUGGGUAGCAGGGUAGGGGAAUGAGUUGGAUCGAGUGUCUGUCCACCCACAGCCUCGACGUGCCUGUAUUUAUCCACCGGCCGCUGGCGGGGUUGGUGUCCAUGGAUCCACCUACCAGAAUACGCCCACUCGCCUUGUAAAAAGAGGAAACCAUCGACCACUACCAGCUUUAGCACAGUAUUUUUUCUCUUGCUUUAAUUAUUCUUUGUCUGGCGUGCCGGCCCCUCCAAUCGUGCUAGCCCAUGCCACAUGCACGUAUGGCGAUGAUCCAUCACGAUCAGAUUCCUACCGCCACCUACCUGCUCCGCUGUGUAUCGAUCGUGGAUGCAAUUUUGAUUAGGAAAAUUGGGAGAGCGUCCAUCAACGACUGAGGGACUGAGGGGGUGUUUCUUUCCAGAGAUUUUUUUGAUGUAGGGACUAAAAAAGUUCCUUUUAGUCUUAUGUGAAAGAAACAGGAGGGACUUCUAGGAACUAAAAUGGGUAUUUGGAACUAAAGUAAGAAGUCCCUAUGGGAGAGACUUUUUGGGACUUUUUUGACUCUUUUUCCAACAAUGCCUCUACUUUUAGCAUGUCAUUUAAUAACUUCUAUUAUAUUACUAGGGAUAACAUGGUUUUUUUCAUGUUAUUUAAUGACCUCUAGUCCAUAUUUAGUUCUUGGAAAGAAACAGAUAGGAACUAGAGACUUUUUAGUUGAGACAAAAAAAAGUCCUUCGGCUUUUUAAAGAAACAGGACCUGAGCACGAAGCUUCAGUCGCUAAUCAUGCUUUCGAGUUUUCCACCCACCCCCANACCCCCACCACAUGCCGCCCCACCGCGCUUUGGCUGUCAGCGCGGUGAUCACCCCCUGGCUGGCGGUUGGUGAAAAAUCUCCGAUUUAAGGAGGCGCUUUGGCGUGCUGCUUUUCUUUUUCCGAUGAAGUUUGGCGUGCUGCUUGCGGACAGAAUUGAUUAUUGGGCAGAUGCAUCACGGGGCCAGCGAGUAAAUCGAGCAGGACCCCUCUGCCUCCACCGGAGCGCUAUACGUGUCUUGGUCGAAAUACUGUAGCCUUCGAGCAGAGUGCAAGGCUAAUAAGUAAAGUAGAGCCAUCCCAUCGAGUCGACGAGAUUAAGUUGGCGCGAGGAAACCACCGAUCGGCGUUCGGCGAACUGCAAUGAUGUGCCUCGCGCCGGUAGAGAACAAGAUCACCGGCUUCUGCACGCAACGUUUGUCGGCGAGGACGGGUCCGUCGCGUGCGGAAGCAAGCCAGAGGACGGGACGAACGGACGAUCGUGCCCACGUCGGUUGCAACCGCUCCGGACUAACUGCUAUGCUAUGAUGGGAGCUCCAAGAGCAACUCCAAUUGGCUGAUUCAUUUUAUCCUUGCGUGUCUGUUUGCAUCGUGACGGACAGAAAAGUAUCCAAACUGGCACGUGUUUGCUUUUCCUCCGUCUACCGAUUCAUUUCCGGCUCAUUAUUUAGCUUGAUUUGCAUCGACGCGAACACGAGACGACACGCGCGACCAACUUCUUCGACGACGCCUGCAAUCUGUUCGACAGUUUGCCGAGGUAUAAAAUGGAUCCUGUCGACGGGUUCUUUUUCCACAAUUUCUUUGUGACUUCGACGAUUCCUCGUCCGGUGAUGAGGAGGAGAUCUUGGCCGUCGUGUUGGUCCAUCACCACCUUAAUAGCCUGGACACUUUUCGACAUUGAAUCGUAACCGAGAGAGUGGUCAUUUCUUUCUUUGAAAGGACUACUUUGACACAACCAACCCGCUGUUCAAACAUCAGAAAUUGCGGCGGCGUUUUCCGUGUGGCUAGGCAUAUUUUCAACCGUAUUAGAGAGGGGGUGGUCGGAUGCAAUAACUAUUUCGAGUGUAAAGAGGACGCCCUUGGAAAUAUUGGCUUCCCAUCUUAUCAGAAAUGCAUUGCAGCCAUCCGGAUGCUUGCAUACGGAGUGCCCGGUAAUCUCAUUGACGAGUACGUCCGUAUGAGCGAGUCUACAUGGCUAGAGUUCAUGUACAGAUUUUGCAAGGGUGUGAUUUGUGUGUUUGACUCUGAGUAAUUGAGAGAGCCGACUCCUUGAGAUACAUCCCGCUUGUUGGCGAUGAAUGCCACCGGGGGCUUCCCACGGAUGCUUGACAGCAUAGACUGCAUGCACUCGGAGUGGAAAAAUUGGCCUACCACUUGGCAAGGGCGGUAUAAGGGUCAUGUCACGGCUUGCACUGUCAUAUUUGAGACCGUGGCCUCACAAGAUCUCUGGAUCUGUCACUCUCUCUUCGACAUGGCCGGAUCACAUAAUGAUAUCAACGUGCUUCAAUGCUCGCGGGUGUUUGCAAGGCUUGCAGAAGGCAACAGCCAUCGGUGAAUGUUAUCGUCAACGAGCACAACUACGAACAAGGAUACUACCUAGAUGACGGUAUCUAUCUUUAGUGGACCACUACUAUGAAAACAAUCCCCGAUCCUAUCAGAGAGAAGAGGGAAAGAUUUGACCAAGAGCAAGAGUAUGCUAGGAAGGACGUCAAGCAUGCCUUUGGUGUUUUGCAAUCCCGAUGGGGCAUCGUUCGGAACCCUGCUAGGACUUGAAGCAUCAAGAAGCUGUGGGAGGUGAUGACAACUUGUGUUAUUAUGCAUAAUAUGAUUGUAGAAAAUGAGCGUCCCAAAUGUAUCUACAAUCGAGAAUUUUAAUUUUAAAGUGAGAAUGUUGUGUCUGAGCAUGGAGGAGCGGUAACUUUUGAACAGUUUGCCCAAUUUUAUUACGAAAUAGGUAGUUGAAAAACUCACAUGCAGAUGCAAAAUGAUUUGGUUGAACAUAUGUGGGCUCAUGUUGUCAACCAAUAUAUGUAUCUUUUUCAUAUGUAUUUGAGAUAAUUUAAAUUAUUAUUUGGUUGGUAAAUUUGUACUUAUUUAUUUGAAAACUAUGAUUUUUUUUGUUGUGAAACUAUGUUAUUUUUCUAUAUGUCUCCAUGUCAAGUAAUGCAAAAUGUGUGCAUAUUUGUUGAAAAAGGGCAACCAGUCGGCAACGCCGACAAAUAUGGGUCGCAUGCGUUGGGCCCACUGCCAGCCCAAAUGUUAAACAGGACAGAUGCCGAGCGGAUGGCCGAUCCAAACAAACAAAAAACGGACAAAAGCGUCAUUCGCGUUGGAGUUGCUCUAAGAGCAUCUAGAGCAAGACAUAGCAGAUAUGACCCUUUAAAUGUUCGGUCAAUAAUCGAGCGUGUCCUCAAUUUAUUUGUCUACGCAUCCAUACUCUUUAUUUUCCUCCUCAUAUGCCCGGUCACUUGCACGUGAUUGAUGGAGAUGAAGAAAGAGAAAGAAAAAGUGAAUAAAGAAAAAGAAAAAGUGAUCCGGGAUGGGGUCGUGUCCUACGUGACGGGCUGACCGGAUGCGUCCAUGAGCCCUCAUAUCCUCCUUAUAUUUGAGAUGGAUAUGGGUUCGCGGACAACCCGCGCUUAUAGGAAUGAUACGAGGGGUCCGGUUGGAUCAUGUUUUUUCCUUCUCUUUCCUACUCGAUUACUGACUCGGCGCGUUCGUGAACGUAUGAGGGUCGUUUGAGGCGUUCGAAUGUAGAUGCUCUAAGGACAACUCCAACGCAUGAUCCUAAACAAAAGUGUGUUUUGUCCGGUUUUUUUUUGUUUGAAAGUGGGAAUGGGUCCGUGUUUGUUCGAAUAUGUGUUUGCACCGGUUGGUCGCCCAACGUGCGGUUGCAUCUUCGGUCCCAUCUUGUCCGUGCAGAUUUUUUUGUUACUUUCAUCAAUGAUUUUUGUGAUACAUUGGAAUAUAUUCACCAAAUCUCAUAUAGAGUAGCAAGAUCAAAUAAAAUAAGAACCACAAAAGGACAUUUUAAAAGAUAUCCAACUUCCCUAAUGUUAGGGAACGUCGCAUGCGAAACAAAUUUUUUCCUACGAUCACCAAUAUCAAUUUAUGGAGAUCAACAUCUACGAGAGGAGGAGUGCAUGUACAUAACCUUGUAGAUCACUAAGCAGAAGCAUUAAGAAACGCGGUUGAUGUAGUCGAACGUCUUCGCAAUCCAAUCACGAUCAAUUCCGCGAUCCAAUCAAGAACGUUCCGAUCAAAUGCCGAACGACCGACACCUCCGCGCUCCGCACACGUACAACCCGAUGAAACCUUCACCAACUUGAUCUAGAGAGCCUGGCUGAAGUGCUAGAUGAGUUCUCCGGCAACACAAUGGCAUGGUGGUGGUGGUCGUGCGAUCUCAGCAGGGCUUCACCAAGCGCUACCACACACGCGAUUGAGAGGAGAAAUCGAUCUAGGGAGAGAGGUAGGGUUGCACCUAUGCCUUUGGGGUGGUCAUGCCAUCACUAUCCCUCUAUAUAUAUAGGAGGAGGGGGUAGGUAGGGAACAACCUUGGGCCCUCCUCCAACGAGGGAUGGCUGGCAAAAGAGCGGAAGAGUCCACCUCCAACAAGGGAGGCGGACACCCUAGGGAGGACUGCUCCUCCACACUUGGGCGCAUGGGACCUAUAUGGGUCGGCUGCCCAGCCCACCAGGGGCUGGUGCGCCACCUCUUUGGCCCGUGUGCCCUCCGGGGUAGGUGGGCCCCUCCUGGUGGACCCUCGGAACCCUUUCGGCACUCCGGGUACAAUAUCGAAAACACCUGAAACCUUUCUGGGACCUGAAUACCACUUUCCUAUAUAUAAAUGUUUAUCUCCGAACCAUUACAGAGCUCCUCAUGACGUCCGGGAUCUCAUUCGAGACUCCAAACAACCUUCAGUCACCAACACAAUAACUCUAUUAUGUCUGUAUCGUCAUCGAACAUUAAGUGUCCACACCGUGCGGGUUCGAGAACUAUGCAGACAUGACCGAGACACCUCUACAGUCAAUAACCAAUAGAGGGACCUAGAUGUCCAUAUUGGUUCCUACGUAUUCUACAAAUAUCUUUAUUGGUCGAACCAACGAUGUCAAGGAUUCAACUAAUCGCGUAUGUAGUUCCCUUUGUCCAUCGGUAUAUUACUUGCCCGAGAUUCAAUCGUCGGUAUCUCCAUACCUAGUUCAAUCUCGUUACCGACAAGUCUCUUUACUCAUCCCGUAAUACAAGAUCCCGUGACUAACUCCUCAGCCACAUUGCUUGCAAGCUUAUUGUGAUGUUGUAUCACCGAGUGGGUCCUCAGAUACCUCUCCGUCACACAGAGUGACAAAUCCUAGUCUUGAUCCAUGCCAACUCCACAGACACCCUCGGAGAUACGUGUAGAGCUUCUUUAUAGUCACCCAGUUAGGUUGCGACGUUUCAUACACACAAGGCAUUCCUCCGGUGUCAGUGAUUUGCAUGAUCUCAUGAUCAUAGGAACAUAUACAUUGACAUGUAGAAAGCAAUAGCAGUAAACUGGAUACGAUCAAACGCUAUGCUUAAGGUUUGGGUCUUGUCCAUUAUCAAAUGACAACUCAUGUCAAUGGCUAGGAAACCUUAACCAGCUUUGAUUAACAAGCUAGUCACCAGAGGCAUACUAGGGACAUUGUUGUUUAUACUCACACAUGUAUUUGAGUUUCCAAUCAAUACAAUUAUAGCAUAGAUAAUAAAUGAUUAUCAUGAACAAGGAAAUAUNNNNNNNNNNNNNNNNNNNNNNNNNNNNNNNNNNNNNNNNNNNNNNNNNNNNNNNNNNNNNNNNNNNNNNNNNNNNNNNNNNNNNNNNNNNNNNNNNNNNNNNNNNNNNNNNNNNNNNNNNNNNNNNNNNNNNNNNNNNNNNNNNNNNNNNNNNNNNNNNNNNNUCUAGGGCAUAUUUCCUGCUCUUGUAAGUUGGAUUAGUGCCUUGUUGAUGCAUUCAUUGUUGAUCUGCAGAGUCUUGAUCAUGAAUGCUUCUUUCUUCUUCGAGACUAAAGAAUUAGAUGUUGCUUCCACACAUCUAGUCUCAUCUCUAGCCUCUACUCUAGAAAAAAGUGCAGGAACCUCUAUUAAAGUGUGUGCUAUUAGUAGAUCGAUAUUUUCUUCUUCCCAAAACCAAAAGUUGCUACACAAUAAAUAUUUGAUUGUAAGCAAAUUGAACCGAAUCUCAAAGCACAACCGAAGCUAAACUAACACAUACCCCAUCAUUUUUGGCACUUGAUAAACAAUCGUCUGGGAUGUUCUCGCGUUGUAGACAUGCAGCACAAGACAUUGAAUGGAUAGUCAUCACACUUUAUGAGUGGCAUCGGUGCGCCGACGAGCAUUUGGGCCACACCGAGCCACAACGACGGCCAUUGGUGUAUUUUUCGGCGAAGCGGCGACGAGGUAGAUCUAAGCUGAUAGAGGCGGAGUCAGUACCUGCAUGCGGUCUUGGUUCAUUGCCUGGGCUUUCCGGACCGGUACCCGGCCGGUCCAUGGCACAACGCGUCCUCCAUUGGCCUAUUGUGUUCUAAUCCGGCGAGAUCCGCUCCAAAUCCGAUCGCCGGUUGCACANNNNNNNNNNNNNNNNNNNNNNNNNNNNNNNNNNNNNNNNNNNNNNNNNNNNNNNNNNNNNNNNNNNNNNNNNNNNNNNNNNNNNNNNNNNNNNNNNNNNNNNNNNNNNNNNNNNNNNNNNNNNNNNNNNNNNNNNNNNNNNNNNNNNNNGGGGGGGGGGGGGAUAACUCGUGACAUGGAGAAAACAUGGCCGAGCACGCGAUCGUUCUCGGCAGGUACAUGGCUGCGGUGAAGGUAACUAGGGUCGAUAAGGGAGUGGGGCGGGGUGCACAACUGGAGUUAGGUGGGAGGGGAAAUAGAAUAGGGUCGGAUGUGUUCUCGACCGGCGGGUCAGGGNNNNNNNNNNNNNNNNNNNNNNNNNNNNNNNNNNNNNNNNNNNNNNNNNNNNNNNNNNNNNNNNNNNNNNNNNNNNNNNNNNNNNNNNNNNNNNNNNNNNNNNNNNNNNNNNNNNNNNNNNNNNNNNNNNNNNNNNNNNNNNNNNNNNNNNNNNNNNNNNNNNNNNNNNNNNNNNNNNNNNNNNNNNNNNNNNNNNNNNNNNNNNNNNNNNNCCACGUUUAAAUCAAAAAUGGAGAGAAAGCACAUAAAAACAAGUAUUUAUCCGUUUGUUCUUGCGUGUUGAAUUGUGAUUUCUCUCUAUUUACCUUAAAACGGACUAGCUCAGUGCGCGUGUGUUGCCCCGGAAUAUAAAUUUACAUGGUCGUUUGCUUCGCUGCCAAUGCUGAUCUAACCUUGCUAGCUGUUUUGCUAUUAUUGACAAACACACUAUAAGACUUCUUGUGGUCGUAGAAACCCUUCCUACUUAAAGCGAUAAUACUAUUUUUAUUUUGUCGAUUGAGCGCUUUAAGCAUGAAGGGUGAUACAAAAAUAAUAUGAUACAAGGACAUCAUACAAAGAUAUCUUUUAAAAAAAAGUAUGAUAUCUUAUUCCAUAUAAUGUACUACCAAACCAAAUACAUGUGGCCCAAACUUGAAUUCCACAUAUAAAUACUCAUUAUCAUGAGUGGAAAAAGUAUCCCCGUGUUCUUAAUAAAAUCUCAUAUAGUUUGAGGGAUAUUGACUGCUAAGAGAAAAAUGUGCAGACAAUGCCACAAAACAAUAAAUUUAGGCAUAGAGAUCUUGGUUGUCCGCAUAGUUAUAAAAUGUCCUGUACACCACAAGGAUGUAUCAUGCGGAAUAAAUCAAGAAUUUAUGUGAUAUAUGUUGCUUAUUACUCCAUUGCUACAAAUAUUAAAUAACCAAACCAACAUACAUACUUUCAGAAGCUUGACAUAUUAGAAUUAAAUCAAAUUAUCUCAACUGUAGUGCCAUGGUGCUUCACCGGUAGUCUUGUUCGAAGUCAAAUUUCUUUGUAAAGUCUACCAACAUAGCGUGACAACAAGAAAGAAGCAAGUAAGAAAACAUUAAAAAAGAGAACACAUUACCCCCAUCAAAGGAAGCAACACUACAUGUGCAUAACUAAUAAGCAACCUAUCAAGCAUGCACACCUGUUAUGUCCAUCUUCAAUCUAUGUUUUCUUCCAAUUAAAUAGAUGCUGUGAAAAACUCAUAUUUCUUGGCAUUUUCUGAGUAUGACCUAUAUCCUUUCCAUUUGAUCUUAAAGCCUAAAUUUGAAAUGAUCAGCGCCAUUGACGUUUGAGUCCUAAAGCACCUUGCAAUCCCUUAAAUGUUUUAUUGUAUCUCGUUUCCUAAUUAUACUAUGUGACUAAUAGCAUGGCGUGAUAAGCUUGUAGAGUGCACACUUAUUUUACCUCAUUCUACAUCUUCGACUUACCUACCCCCCGUUGUAACUCCUCUCUCUCCUCCCUUUUGCUGCUCCAUGUUCUGAUCAAUCAUACAAAAACCUAAAAGCUAGUAUUACUUCAAACAAACAUAAAAAUAUAUGUAUAUUAAUAAUUUUCAAUUUUACUGUAACCGGUGUAUUUUUUUUAUAGAAUAGAACUCUUGGGGUUAAGUUGAUCAAAUGAGUGGAUGAUAUGAGUAACAUAACAACCAUUUACCUAGCGCUUUGUAUUAUGACAGGUUAGCACCCCUAAUGGUUGGUCCCUCAUUUGAGUAUCUUGAUACUAAGUUACUAACACAAUAGGUUGCAGAAAAGAUUUAGAAAAAAAGAAACAAUCUAAAGUACCAAUUGAGUAUGUACAGGUGGUUGCCAUGUCAUAUUUGGUUGAGUUACAAUCAUGUUAUUUGAGGGUUAUUAAGUUGCCAAGAAUCAACUUGGAUUGAAACCAUAACUUUUGUGCGCAUACUCACAUCCUAGUCCUAGCACGAGCUUUCGAAAACCUCAUGAGAUAGUCUAAACUACAGAAUGACACCCAGGUGACCUAGCCUUGCUCAACCAAUGGAAUAAAAGCCAAAUUGUCAACCGCCUUUACUAAAACAUGUCAUUACUUCUGCAAAUAUUUUUGAUGUACCAUGAUAUACUAACGGAGACUAUCUAAGGCACCUACCGUCUAGAGCAUCAUGACGGAGACAAUGUCACACAGGAGGAAUGUCAAUAAUACUCUAGCAACACGUACUCGUAUUAUGUUGUGCAUCUAUCAGUAGACAAAGUUACAAUUUUCCUCUUCUUAACACAUUUAAGUGAAGAAAAAGAACAAGCUUGAGUUCUAUGCAUGUGGGCGUGUGGAUAAACUAACCAAAUCUAAAUAUGUAUUUCCAAAAAAUAAUAUUUAUUGCCGAAUCUUAUCAUCGAUCUAAGCACAUCACAAAUCCUUCCAUCCAAGUAAUUUCAUUUUUUUCAAUAAGAAGAUCAAUCCUGAGAUAACAUAAAUUGAACACGAGAAGAACCCCCGUUACUUGCAUUUAACCAGUGUAAAAACAUCACAGAUAUCACAUGCCCACCUUUGUAAUGCACAUGUGUACUGGGUGGGAAAUAAAUAGAUAAAGGACCCUCAAUACCCCACAAUUUUAUAGUUAAUUGCAUAAACACAUUGGUAUAGCUAGAACUAAACAAAAUGGAAACAUAUUUGCAAUGGUAAAGACCACAAAAACAUGUGAAAGAAGAUUAGCCUUUUCAUUACCUGCAUAUGUGAAUUCUAUCUUAGUAUGUAGAUAGAGACAAAUCAUGUCCAUUAGUACAUCUAUCAGGAAUAACAUCAUAAGAUGCAUCCGUUUCCAUAUGCAACCCCAAAAACUGCAACGUGUGAAACUGAUUAAGGCUGUAUGGAAAAGUUAGAUGAACUAAUCUAGUCAUAACAUUUACCGGACAGAAGGUUUAUAAAAAAUGUUAUGUGUGCCGUAUGAGAAUGCCUCAUCAAGUCUACCAAAUGUUAGAAGGAAAAUAUAGAAGAUUCAAUUUUGUAAACCAUUACAGCCCGUGUGUCAUACCUCUGAAAUUUGUAAAGCACUCAUACCUGCACAUUAGUGAACUCCUCAAUCCUCUUCAUGAUUGACCAAGUCCUCCAUCAGCACCUCGUCAUCGAGUCAUCACCUAUCAUCGAGUCAAUCUCGGUGAAUGUCUCGAUCCCUGAACCGCCUCCCAUGUCUCAAUAUAAUAUGAAGAAUCAACUCGAUCAAAUCAAUGACCAAAGGAAAAGACGUGAUCCCUGAGACAACAUGUGUAGUUCCAAACAAACAAGCAAAAUUAAACACCACGACCCAAAAUCCCAGCCAACAUAUGUGAGGCUUCGUGCAGCGGUGCUUACAUCGAUUUGCUUCUGCAAAUAACGCGACAACGACUUCUUGGGCCGUCGUGGCGGAUGCGUGCAGCCGGUGGAGAGAAAUUCAUUAAUGGUGGGACGAAGAAGUCCCGCUUCGGUCAAUGGCAGCGCGGAAAGCGUUUGCACAAUGCCAUCCGAUCUCAAUGCCGGAGAAGACACAAUGCCGGUGCGGUCCUCUAGGGCGGCCGUAGCCGUGCGAGUUUGGCAGCUUCUCCUUCUACGGCGAUGGAGAGGAGGCAUCCACUAAGGCAGGGAUGCGGUGGUCAGAGGCAGCGCCCCAUGAGGGUGGGGCUGCCGUGCGCGACCGGUUGAGGGGAGGGGAGAUCGUGG